UUUCUUCUUUACAAACCAGCUUUCUAUUCACUGCACCUUCCCUUCAAUGGAGGAGUGGAGGGGAAAAGGAAGCAAGAUUAACAUCAGAAGAUCACUAAAACUGAGACUUGUGCUGAUACUCAAAGCAGGAUUCGGUCUUUAUGUCUUUUGAGAUAUCA
RNAcentral lists this small nucleolar RNA (158 nucleotides) under Komagataella phaffii GS115. RNAcentral's name for it is "small nucleolar RNA snR8". It matches the Rfam family "Small nucleolar RNA snR8". Lineage: Eukaryota; Fungi; Ascomycota; Pichiomycetes; Pichiales; Pichiaceae. The record is from Rfam by way of RNAcentral.